CAAAGGAAUUGACGGGACCCGCACAAGCAGCGGAGCGUGUGGUUUAAUUCGAUGCUACACGAAGAACCUUACCAGGGUUUGACAUGCAAGUGGUAGGAAUCUGAAAAGGGACCGACCCUUCGGGGAGCUUGCACAGGUGCUGCAUGGCUGUCGUCAGCUCGUGUCGUGAGGUGUUCGGUUAAGUCCGCUAACGAGCGCAACCCUCACUGUGUGUUAUAUGUGUCACACGGGACUGCCGGUUUUAAGUCGGAGGAAGGUGGGGAUGACGUCAAAUCAUCAUGCCCCUUAUGACCUGGGCUACACACGUGCUACAAUGGGCGGUACAAAGGGUCGCGAACCCGCGAGGGGGAGCCAAUCCCAAAAAGCCGCUCUCAGUUCGGAUUGCAGGCUGCAACUCGCCUGCAUGAAGCCGGAAUCGCUAGUAAUCGCGGAUCAGCAUGCCGCGGUGAAUACGUUCCCGGGCCUU
This 466-nucleotide ribosomal RNA is filed under the name uncultured Anaerolineaceae bacterium. RNAcentral's name for it is "bacterial SSU rRNA". It matches the Rfam family "Bacterial small subunit ribosomal RNA", at positions 902 to 1382 of the family's 1533-position model. The record is from RNAcentral. Lineage: Bacteria; Bacillati; Chloroflexota; Anaerolineae; Anaerolineales; Anaerolineaceae.